AAAGAGAGGGUGAAUUGGUUUCUCUAAAUUUUUUACUACCUUGAUUGAGUUAAUUGAUGAGUAAGUGAAGUUAAAACAAUACACAAUGCAAACACACAAGAAGUAUAGUGGUUCGGUGCUCUCCUAAGCACCUACGUCCACUCCCCAAGCGACCCCUUGGGAAUUUACUAUAAUCCCGCGGAUUACAGUUGGAUUGUUUUCCGGGCUCACAAUCCAAAAACCUUUACACUUUGAUUUUUCGGGAUCACCAAAAACCUAUGUUGGUUUUACGGGCUCACCAACAAACCUUCACAGUUGGUUUUACGGGUUCACCAACAAACCUACACCGUUGGUUUUACGGGCUCACCAACAAACCUUUACAAGGUGAUUAAGAAAAAGAAGAAAGUUGAAACUCCUAGAUUAGCAAAUAUAACAACUAUGAGCUACAAAGAAGAGUUUAGAAUAUAGUUAUCGCUUUGAUGAGACUUCUCUCUUCUUUGUCAAAAUUGUUUCACUCUUCAAGGGUUGGUGGAGCUCUUAAUGUCUCUUAGAAUCUACUCAACCACUUUCUUUUGUCUCUUUGAGUGAAGCAUUUGAAUGAAGAAUGCUAGGGCUUUUUCUUUCUUGAAUGAGCUUUGAUUUCUUUGCAAAAGGAUAUCUUCUCUGAUGAAUAGUGUCACUUUAAAUACUUUCCCUCAUCCAUUGGUCACCCCCCAUUGGUUAGAUUUCAAAAACUAGCCGUUACUUGCUGUUGGGAGGUCAAAAAGUACUUCUGCAGAACUAGCCGUUAUGCUUCUGCCCGUGCUGGGGUCGACCCAAACUUUCCUGUGGUCGACUCAAACCACUGUUCAUCAUACUUGGGGUCGACUCAACUUUCA
RNAcentral lists this long non-coding RNA (857 nucleotides) under Phoenix dactylifera (date palm). Its description in RNAcentral is "long non-coding RNA (PDAC_LNC017549)". Lineage: Eukaryota; Viridiplantae; Streptophyta; Magnoliopsida; Arecales; Arecaceae. The record is from RNAcentral.